UGGGCCCGACGUCGCAUGCUCCCGGCCGCCAUGGCGGCCGCGGGAAUUCGAUUAGAGUUUGAUCAUGGCUCAGAUUGAACGCUGGCGGCAUGCCUAACACAUGCAAGUCGAACGGCAGCACAGUAAAGAUUUCGGUCUUUAUGGGGUGGCGAGUGGCGGACGGGUGAGUAACACGUAGGAAUCUGUCCUGGAGCGUGGGAUAACCCGAGGAAACUCGGGCUAAUACCACAUGAUAUCGAGGGAUCAAAAGCAGGGGACCGAAAGGCCUUGCGCUCUGGGGUGAGCCUACGUCGGAUUAGCUAGUUGGUGGGGUAAAAGCCUACCAAGGCGACGAUCCGUAGCUGGUCUGAGAGGAUGACCAGCCACACUGGGACUGAGACACGGCCCAGACUCCUACGGGAGGCAGCAGUGGGGAAUCUUGGACAAUGGGGGAAACCCUGAUCCAGCGAUGCCGCGUGUGUGAAGAAGGCCUUCGGGUUGUAAAGCACUUUAGGUGGGGAAGAAAGGUAACGAGCGAAUAACUCGUUGCUAUGACGGUACCCGCAGAAUAAGCACCGGCUAACUCUGUGCCAGCAGCCGCGGUAAUACGAAUCACUAGUGAAUUCGCGGCCGCCUGCAGGUCGACCAUAUGGGAGAGCUCCCAACGC
This 647-nucleotide ribosomal RNA is filed under the name uncultured Gammaproteobacteria bacterium. RNAcentral describes it as "bacterial SSU rRNA". It matches the Rfam family "Bacterial small subunit ribosomal RNA", at positions 1 to 602 of the family's 1533-position model. The record is from RNAcentral. Lineage: Bacteria; Pseudomonadati; Pseudomonadota; Gammaproteobacteria.